Molecule: long non-coding RNA, 399 nt
Filed under: Salvia miltiorrhiza (redroot sage)
Lineage: Eukaryota; Viridiplantae; Streptophyta; Magnoliopsida; Lamiales; Lamiaceae
Description: long non-coding RNA (SMIL_LNC013394)
Source: RNAcentral
UCUGGCGCGGGAUUCAGCCCUGUUUUGGCGCAAGCUUGGCUCUGUUCGGGCUGCAUCAUUAGCUCUGUUCGGGCUGCAUCAUUUAGUUCGUUCUUGUUGUUUUCUUUCUCUUUUCGCUUGGGUUUUUUUUUUGUCUUUUUCUGGUUUUGGUUUUUCCGGUCGUUCCUUGUUUGCACCUGUGCUCUCAAGGGUUUUUGUUUUUCUUCAAUAAAACUUCUAUUUCAGCUCAUUUUGUAGUGCAGCAUCAUGUUGGAUGGAUUUAGAAACAGUCUUCCAUUUAGUCCAUAAGGGAAGAUGUACCAGGUCUUCCUUCAUUCCAUCAGAAUAUGGGCGAUGACAGAUUAGGAUGAGAUGAGGAUUGGAUUGAUGCUUGUUGAAGGUGUGUAGCUCUCUGUAAAG